Rhipicephalus sanguineus (brown dog tick) is the source of this 1038-nucleotide long non-coding RNA. RefSeq lists it as uncharacterized. The record is from RefSeq and is a predicted model, not a curated record. NCBI's taxonomy places the organism in Eukaryota, Metazoa, Arthropoda, Arachnida, Ixodida, Ixodidae. The transcript has 2 exons.
UCACGUUCGAACACAAACCGCUCUCGCAUUCACUGUUUGCAGCAUGUGUUGUCAAGUGUGUUUAAGAGUUCAUAUUCGCCGCAGAUAGAAAAAUUCUGAUUAAAAAUGUUUCACGGCGUUUUCCACGUUACCAUUCCAUGGCUAGACAAUCUGACCAGUUAGCUUUCCGUUGCUCUAAAGAAGAUAGGUGCCCUAAAAAUUGGUUGUCAGUCCCUUUAAGUGGCACAAUCAAUCAGUGCACAGGCCUUGUUGAGAAAACAAAUGUAUUUGCUCGUUUCAGCAUUCUGCACAUCACAAAAGUGGCUGGCUGUAAACAUCUGCAGCCCCACCGCUGUGGGGCAUCCGUUGUUCUCCAGUGAAACCCUAUUAGACUACUACGUAUGGUCGCUGUCGCUGAACAGCCAUGUGCAUAAAAAUUAAUGUUAAAGAUUUGCUAAAAACUGCACAUAACGAGCUGCUGCCCAACAUCAACGUGCACUAUGUGCCCAAGCAUGCUGCUGUUGUCAAAUUUAACACAAAACAAGGUUUUAAUUCAUGACCUUGAGAAAUAGUUGGAAUGCCUGUUCUGAUUAUGGACUGAAAUGUUGCUAAUCUUGGAAGUUAAUUGUUCUUGGACACCUUGCACACUUGGUUCAGUGAAUAUGCUUGGUCAAUAUGAAAGUUUUGGAGUCUGAACAUGCAGUCUGAAUAAUGUCUUUAAUUAGAGACACCAGAGCAAAUUUUCACAUUGUACUUUUUAUUGGCAUUUCAGGAGCAACACACUAGGAUGACUAAAGGACGUAACACUUCUGGACGGGAAUUACAUGUUCAAGAAUUGUUUUGAAAUGUACAAGGAAGAUAUUGGCAUUCUCCUUGCGCCAUCAGCUGUUCAACAUCUGCGAGCUGCAAAGGCUCUCCUGUAUGACAAGGAAGCAGUAGACGCGGCAUUCGCAAUGCUCAUUUUAUGUGCUUCCAAGGGAUGCGGCCAAAGGACGACCUGCAGAUGUGCGAGUCACGUUUAUGGGAGCUGCAAAAAAGAAUUAAAGUGUAUCCCCAGUG